This 426-nucleotide ribosomal RNA is filed under the name Staphylococcus sp. D01_4. Its description in RNAcentral is "bacterial SSU rRNA". It matches the Rfam family "Bacterial small subunit ribosomal RNA", at positions 415 to 833 of the family's 1533-position model. The record is from RNAcentral. Lineage: Bacteria; Bacillati; Bacillota; Bacilli; Caryophanales; Staphylococcaceae.
UCUUCGGAUCGUAAAACUCUGUUAUUAGGGAAGAACAAACGUGUAAGUAACUGUGCACGUCUUGACGGUACCUAAUCAGAAAGCCACGGCUAACUACGUGCCAGCAGCCGCGGUAAUACGUAGGUGGCAAGCGUUAUCCGGAAUUAUUGGGCGUAAAGCGCGCGUAGGCGGUUUUUUAAGUCUGAUGUGAAAGCCCACGGCUCAACCGUGGAGGGUCAUUGGAAACUGGAAAACUUGAGUGCAGAAGAGGAAAGUGGAAUUCCAUGUGUAGCGGUGAUAUGCGCAGAGAUAUGGAGGAACACCAGUGGCGAAGGCGACUUUCUGGUCUGUAACUGACGCUGAUGUGCGAAAGCGUGGGGAUCAAACAGGAUUAGAUACCCUGGUAGUCCACGCCGUAAACGAUGAGUGCUAAGUGUUAGGGGGUUC